RNAcentral lists this ribosomal RNA (119 nucleotides) under Eucalyptus grandis. The record is from RNAcentral. Lineage: Eukaryota; Viridiplantae; Streptophyta; Magnoliopsida; Myrtales; Myrtaceae.
GGGUGCGAUUAUACCAGCACUAAUGCACCGGAUCCCAUCAGAACUCCGUAGUUAAGCGUGCUUGGGCGAGUGUAGUACUAGGAUGGGUGACCUCCUGGGAAGUCCUCGUGUUGCCCCCC